CCCUGUAGCUCAGUUGGUAGAGCGUGGUGUUUGCCACGCCAGGGUUGUGGGUUCGAUUCCCACGAGGG
Molecule: transfer RNA, 68 nt
Filed under: Salmo salar (Atlantic salmon)
Lineage: Eukaryota; Metazoa; Chordata; Actinopteri; Salmoniformes; Salmonidae
Rfam family: tRNA
About the family: Transfer RNA (tRNA) molecules are approximately 80 nucleotides in length. Their secondary structure includes four short double-helical elements and three loops (D, anti-codon, and T loops).
Source: Rfam by way of RNAcentral